UGGGGAAUUGUUCGCAAUGGGCGCAAGCCUGACGACGCAACGCCGCGUGGAGGACGAAGACCUUCGGGUCGUAAACUCCUUUCGAUCGAGACGAAUGGCCUCCGGGUGAACAGUCCGGAGGAAUGACGGUACCGAGAGAAGAAGCCCCGGCUAACUCCGUGCCAGCAGCCGCGGUAAUACGGGGGGGGCAAGCGUUGUUCGGAAUUACUGGGCGUAAAGGGCUCGUAGGUGGCCAACUAAGUCAGACGUGAAAUCCCUCGGCUUAACCGGGGAACGGCGUCUGAUACUGGAUGGCUUGAGUUUGGGAGAGGGAUGCGGAAUUCCAGGUGUAGCGGUGAAAUGCGUAGAUAUCUGGAGGAACACCGGUGGCGAAGGCGGCGUCCUGGACCAAAACUGACACUGAGGAGCGAAAGCCAGGGGAGCAAACGGG
This 430-nucleotide ribosomal RNA is filed under the name Bacillota bacterium. Its description in RNAcentral is "Firmicutes bacterium partial 16S ribosomal RNA". It matches the Rfam family "Bacterial small subunit ribosomal RNA", at positions 355 to 776 of the family's 1533-position model. The record is from RNAcentral. Lineage: Bacteria; Bacillati; Bacillota.